RNAcentral lists this ribosomal RNA (836 nucleotides) under uncultured fungus. RNAcentral's name for it is "SSU rRNA". It matches the Rfam family "Eukaryotic small subunit ribosomal RNA", at positions 612 to 1479 of the family's 1831-position model. The record is from RNAcentral. Lineage: Eukaryota; Fungi.
GUUGUGGUUAAAAAGCUCGUAGUUGAACCUUGGGCCUGGCUGGCCGGUCCGCCUCACCGCGUGCACUGGUCCGGCCGGGCCUUUCCCUCUGUGGAACCCCAUACCCUUCACUGGGCGUGGCGGGGAAACAGGACAUUUACUUUGAAAAAAUUAGAGUGCUCCAGGCAGGCCUAUGCUCGAAUACAUUAGCAUGGAAUAAUAAAAUAGGACGCGCGGUUCUAUUUUGUUGGUUUAUAGGACCGCCGUAAUGAUUAAUAGGGACAGUCGGGGGCAUCAGUAUUCAACUGUCAGAGGUGAAAUUCUUGGAUCAGUUGAAGACUAACUACUGCGAAAGCAUUUGCCAAGGAUGUUUUCAUUAAUCAGGAACGAAAGUUAGGGGAUCGAAGACGAUCAGAUACCGUCGUAGUCUUAACCAUAAACUAUGCCGACUAGGGAUCGGACGGUGUUAUUCAUGACCCGUUCGGCACCUUACGAGAAAUCAAAGUGCUUGGGCUCCAGGGGGAGUAUGGUCGCAAGGCUGAAACUUAAAGAAAUUGACGGAAGGGCACCACCAGGGGUGGAGCCUGCGGCUUAAUUUGACUCAACACGGGGAAACUCACCAGGUCCAGACACAAUAAGGAUUGACAGAUUGAGAGCUCUUUCUUGAUUUUGUGGGUGGUGGUGCAUGGCCGUUCUUAGUUGGUGGGGUGACUUGUCUGCUUAAUUGCGAUGACGAACGAGACCUUAACCUGCUAAAUAGCCCGCAUUGCUCGGGCAGUGCGCUGGCUUCUUAGAGGGACUUUCGGCUCAAGCCGAAGAAGUUUGAGGCAAUAACAGGUCUGUGAUGCCCUUAGAAU